UCUGUGUGUGAGAAAACACUCACUCCCAUAAUGAUGAAGAGCUUCGAGAGGCUGGUCAGGGACCAUAUUACCUCCAGACUCCCCUCCACACUUGACCCGUACCAGUUUGCUUACAGGCCAAACCAC
Molecule: long non-coding RNA, 126 nt
Organism: Amblyraja radiata (thorny skate)
Lineage: Eukaryota; Metazoa; Chordata; Chondrichthyes; Rajiformes; Rajidae
Exons: 3
Source: RefSeq, a predicted model, not a curated record